This 486-nucleotide ribosomal RNA is filed under the name uncultured bacterium. Its description in RNAcentral is "bacterial SSU rRNA". It matches the Rfam family "Bacterial small subunit ribosomal RNA", at positions 29 to 507 of the family's 1533-position model. The record is from RNAcentral.
AACGAACGCUGGCGGCGCGCUUAACACAUGCAAGUCGAACGAGAAGCUGUAGCAAUACAGUUGUAAAGUGGCAAACGGGUGAGUAAUGCGUGGGUAAUCUACCCUAGGGUGGGGAAUAACUCUUCGAAAGGAGAGCUAAUGCCGACAUGUGCAUCACUUUCGCAAGGAAGUGCUGGAAAGCCGUAUCGUGGAUACGGCGCCCAAGGAUGAGCUCACGUCCUAUCAGCUUGUUGGCGGGGUAACGGCCCACCAAGGCUGCGACGGGUAGCUGGUCUGAGAGGACGACCAGCCACACUGGCACUGCGACGCGGGCCAGACUCCUACGGGAGGCAGCAGUGAGGAAUAUUGCGCAAUGGACGAAAGUCUGACGCAGCGACGCCGCGUGGGGGAUGAAGGCCUUCGGGUUGUAAACCCCUUUCAGGAGGGAAGAUGGCCCUUGCAAGAGGGCGGACGGUACCUCCAGAAGCAGCCACGGCUAACUCUGUG